GUGAAGCGGCGUGUGAGGGAAUAUCAGAGACGACGAGGAACUCCGCAGCGGCUCGAUGAGCUCCGGAUGCGUCCGAACCAGAAGUUCGACGGUCUCCAGCCUGAAACAGAGCAAAGUUGACGAUGCGUUUACUGCGUCGUGGUUUGUCGGAGUUGAAAUGAAUCGUCCCAGUUGGGAGAAAAAAAAAAAUUGUACCGCAGGCGAAGAAUCUAUGUAUAUGAAAAAAAAUACAUAUAUUCAUUAUCGACAGAUAACGGUGGGAAAAGAAAUACCACAUGGACUCGAGAAACGCGCUGACGGUCGUAUGUAAAAAAAAAAAAUCUGUCCACAGUCGUCCACUUUUCAUCAUAUGCUGUACUUUUCAGUUCAAGUUCUUUCUUAUUUUCUCAUUAUUUCUUUCUUCUACAAGUGAUGUCAAAUUCACGAAGAAUAAAAUAAUAUCGAUUAAUGUCAUAAUCGAUUAAAAAAGUUACAAAUGCAUCGCUCCAAAAAUCCGGAUAGUAUUUUACAAAGUUUAUAAAACCAUCCCAAAAAAUGAAAUUUGCCGUUUACUUUUGGCCCGAUGCAAUGAUAGUAAUAUAUGUGUAUGUGUUCCAAGAAUUCACGAACGGUGAAUUCCUCCCGUGCUCCAUUGUUAUAGCGAGCACAAUUCGCGCAGACGUAUAAAUUUAUUUGAUCAAAUUAUUAAGACUAAUUCAAUUUCCUCCAUUUAGUCUCUUGGGUUGAGUAGCUUUCCGCCUCGAAAAAUUUAUUCUCCGUUGCGGUAUAUAAUAUAUAAAGAGAGGUAGUAUACAAAGAAGCUAUACGUAAAUGUACGCUCGUGUUGCAUAGAAAAAUAGGCGUCAAGUUCGGUUAAUAAAACAUUUUAUGGCGCGACGUGUGUCUCUGCGGCACCGUGAAAUGUAAAGAAAGAUGAAUGAAAAGAAGUGAAAGAAGUUACACGGGGUAUAAUUAAGAGAAACGAAAUGCAUUGCGCGUGGCACGAAACUAAAAGUACCCGGUAAGUCUUUCACUUUUCCUCUUUCGUAUCUUAGAAAUAGAAAGAAGAUAAACUAGUUUAAUCUUAAAAUCAAUGUUUGUAAGAAGCAAUAACGUCGGUAUAUUUACCUGCCAUAUUGUGCGGCCAGAUCAAGAGCAGAUUCGCCACGACUGUUGCGAAUGCUGGGAUCACAGCCAUGCUGCAAUAACUGUGUCACAACUUCCGUGUGGCCAUAUUGGGCCGCGCAGUGAAGAGCAGUCUCAUUGUCCUUGGUCUGUAAAGUAGAAUAUAUAGAAUAGAAAGAUUAGAAAGAAGAUGUAAUUUUCAGAGCUGAAAAUUAUAUCCGUAUAAAGGAUUAAAUUUCGGGAUGAAAUUCUUCCUGCAAAUAAUAGGGAGAAAAAUCAAAGAUGAAAAUAAUGAAAAUGUGGAAAAAUGCCAAGUUCAAUUCACGUCUUCUUUUUUUUUUCCUCCCUCCGUCACAACGUACCGCUAGAUUAACGUUGGGCACCGACGGUCCCUGGCAAAGUAUGAGCCUGACGAUUUCCGCAUCCCCGGCCCAGGCGGCGAGAUGCAACGGUGACGAGCCCUUAGCGUCGACGACGUUGGUGGACGCCUCGUAUUGUAGUAGAAUUUUAACCACGUCCCUGAAACAGUCAAUUACACAAUGCGCGAUUUGCAUUUGACGUUGUGGGUAAAAGUUAACAUCCGCUGACGAAGCAGCGAGUGCUAUUCAAGAGAGCGAUAAACUGACCUGUGGCCGUUGAGAGCGGCGUGGUGGAGCGCGGAAUAACCGCUGGCAUCCUGAACGUUUGCACCGGGUCCCCGUCGAAGGCUGAAAAGAGAAUUUUCAUUCGUUGAGUGAGUAGGAUCGAAGAAAUGUUCUUGGCUUAGAUUACAGGAAAACCAAAGGACAAAAAUAGAGAGAUGGCACAGCGGAAGCGAAACUUCAAUCGACCCAAAUUCACAGCGCGAGUUACUUGAGCUGGUCAUCCUUAUUGCUGCUUGGAAUUAUUCCUCACGCUCUUCCGCAGAAUCAGAGUUCUCGCGUAGACGAGUGCGAAGUAGGUACGCGCGAGGAUUGAUUUCCGCAAUUAAGUAAUCGCCUCGUCGGUUCGUUCUGCUCGUAUGUAGGUAUACUACAACUAUCGCCAGCUGACAGCCACAUAAUACCGGUUUAAUUGUUCCAUACACACACGGAGAGACUUUUGGUAACAAUGUUUGCUGUAUCGGUUAUCCACAAUUACAAAAAAAUAUACGUAACGUCACGUAAGUGACGCGCACGAGUAAUUUCACGCCAUCGAUCUGGACUGAAAUGAUUACAUACCCACGACGAGAAGAACGUUUUUCUCCUUUUUUUUUAGCUUUACACCUCUCGAGUGAACUGAUUUACCCCGAUAACUGGAGCGUUUCACCGAGCAUUCAACGAUUUCAAACUUUUCGAAACUUUUUUUUUUUUUAUUUGAACCCAAUUACUAUGAUGUAAGGAUAAAAUUAUUUAUGCGACUAAAAAAUAUGUGUGUAUA
Neodiprion virginianus is the source of this 2502-nucleotide long non-coding RNA. RefSeq lists it as uncharacterized. The record is from RefSeq and is a predicted model, not a curated record. The transcript has 3 exons. Lineage: Eukaryota; Metazoa; Arthropoda; Insecta; Hymenoptera; Diprionidae.